GCGGACGGGUGAGUAAUGCUUGGGAAUUUGCCUUUAGGUGGGGGACAACAGUUGGAAACGACUGCUAAUACCGCAUGAUAGCUACGGCUCAAAGGGGGCUUCGGCUCCCGCCUUUAGAGAAGCCCAAGUGGGAUUAGGUAGUUGGUGAGGUAAAGGCUCACCAAGCCCACGAUCCCUAGCUGGUCUGAGAGGAUGAUCAGCCACACUGGAACUGAGACACGGUCCAGACUCCUACGGGAGGCAGCAGUGGGGAAUAUUGCACAAUGGGCGAAAGCCUGAUGCAGCCAUGCCGCGUGUGUGAAGAAGGCCUUCGGGUUGUAAAGCACUUUCAGCGAGGAGGAAAGCUUAGUCGUUAAUACCGGCUAGGUGUGACGUUACUCGCAGAAGAAGCACCGGCUAACUCCGUGCCAGCAGCCGCGGUAAUACGGAGGGUGCGAGCGUUAAUCGGAAUUACUGGGCGUAAAGCGUACGCAGGCGGCCAUUUAAGUCAGAUGUGAAAGCCCCGGGCUCAACCUGGGAACUGCAUUUGAAACUGGAUGGCUAGAGUGCGACAGAGGGUGGUAGAAUUUCAGGUGUAGCGGUGAAAUGCGUAGAGAUCUGAAGGAAUACCAAUGGCGAAGGCAGCCACCUGGGUCGACACUGACGCUCAUGUACGAAAGCGUGGGUAGCAAACAGGAUUAGAUACCCUGGUAGUCCACGCCGUAAACGAUGUCUACUAGCAGUUUGGAGCUUAAGCUCUGUCUUGCGCAGCUAACGCAUUAAGUAGACCGCC
Molecule: ribosomal RNA, 772 nt
Filed under: Rhodobacteraceae bacterium ACEMC 11-10
Lineage: Bacteria; Pseudomonadati; Pseudomonadota; Alphaproteobacteria; Rhodobacterales; Paracoccaceae
Description: bacterial SSU rRNA
Rfam family: Bacterial small subunit ribosomal RNA
Source: RNAcentral